RNAcentral lists this ribosomal RNA (253 nucleotides) under uncultured bacterium. Its description in RNAcentral is "partial 16S ribosomal RNA". It matches the Rfam family "Bacterial small subunit ribosomal RNA", at positions 524 to 776 of the family's 1533-position model. The record is from RNAcentral.
UACGGAGGAUGCAAGUGUUAUCCGGAAUCACUGGGCGUAAAGCGUCUGUAGGUGGUUUAAUAAGUCAACUGUUAAAUCUUGAGGCUCAACCUCAAAAUCGCAGUCGAAACUAUUAGGCUAGAGUAUAGUAGGGGUAAAGGGAAUUUCCAGUGGAGCGGUGAAAUGCGUAGAGAUUGGAAAGAACACCGAUGGCGAAGGCACUUUACUGGGCUAUUACUAACACUCAGAGACGAAAGCUAGGGUAGCAAAUGGG